CUAAUACAUGCAAGUAGAACGCUNGAAGAGAGGAGCUUGCUCUUCUUGGAUGAGUUGCGAACGGGUGAGUAACGCGUAGGUAACCUGCCUUGUAGCGGGGGAUAACUAUUGGAAACGAUAGCUAAUACCGCAUAACAAUGGAUGACCCAUGUCAUUUAUUUGAAAGGGGCAAAUGCUCCACUACAAGAUGGACCUGCGUUGUAUUAGCUAGUAGGUGAGGUAACGGCUCACCUAGGCGACGAUACAUAGCCGACCUGAGAGGGUGAUCGGCCACACUGGGACUGAGACACGGCCCAGACUCCUACGGGAGGCAGCAGUAGGGAAUCUUCGGCAAUGGGGGCAACCCUGACCGAGCAACGCCGCGUGAGUGAAGAAGGUUUUCGGAUCGUAAAGCUCUGUUGUAAGUCAAGAACGAGUGUGAGAGUGGAAAGUUCACACUGUGACGGUAGCUUACCAGAAAGGGACGGCUAACUACGUGCCAGCAGCCGCGGUAAUACGUAGGUCCCGAGCGUUGUCCGGAUUUAUUGGGCGUAAAGCGAGCGCAGGCGGUUUGAUAAGUCUGAAGUUAAAGGCUGUGGCUCAACCAUAGUUCGCUUUG
RNAcentral lists this ribosomal RNA (598 nucleotides) under uncultured Bacilli bacterium. RNAcentral's name for it is "bacterial SSU rRNA". It matches the Rfam family "Bacterial small subunit ribosomal RNA", at positions 48 to 628 of the family's 1533-position model. The record is from RNAcentral. Lineage: Bacteria; Bacillati; Bacillota; Bacilli.